ACAAAAUUUCUGGGCCUAAUGUAUGGAAAAACCCGUGCUUGGCGAACAAAUGAGUCAGAAUACAACAUAUCGCUGAACUGAAUCUAAGAGAAGUUGGUCAUUUUAACUUCAAUUCAGGAAUAUCCUGGGAGUUGCUUGCAGCCUCCAUUGACUUGGACCGGUAUUACCUCGACGUAACCAAGGUUGCUCCUUAAUCAGGUGGCCUGCAGGACCUCACCCCGAAAACAAGUAGUUUUUCAGUAGGCAGAUCAGCAGUCAGUCUCAAGAUAACAUUGAGUCCAACAUCAGAACCCAAACACAUAUUAGAAUGUAGACUUUUCAGAGCUAACGUGUAAUUAUUUAGCACUCGAACAUAGAAUGGACUUUUUGGCCCUAUAACGGAACCCGAGAAAUCAUUCACAACUCUUAAAAUAUUUCAACUUUUUUUCUUGUGAUUUUUUUAGUAAUUAUAUGCAAUACUAUGACUUAUUACUUGAGUUAUUCUCAACCCCUAUGAUUUUGUAGAUAAAUUGAACAUUUUAUGACCCAUUUGAUGAAGAAUUUGUCAAUUUGAGGUCAACAACGCUGGGAGUCUAGCAGUCCCUAGCCGUCUAAAACAGAGGUUUGACGAAUCACAUCAAAAAGAAAACAGCAAUUCUAGAGAUGACAAUUCUCAUACAGUUUCGCACCCAACUUCCCACUGGAGCAAGCGAGUGACAACAUUAGCUAUCUUAAUAUUGGUAAGAAACUUCUGUUUGAUAGAUUAACCUUAUCUGAGUCAGAAGAUUUCAUCCUCUACUGCCUGCGGUUUGUUCUGAAUAUUCUUCUCAACCCAAGCAAGAGCAGUAUAAGCCCAACAUAGUUAUAGUCGUAAGCCAAACUGACAAACUCCAUCUUGAAAUCAUUCCAUGGAGGAUACCUUGGUUCCAACUCAAUUAAGAAGCUCCUAUGUAGAACUGCUUUUUCAUGACUAAAUGUGUCAAAAGAGUACUUCCCAUGGUAACGUCCAUGACCACUCUGACCAACGCCUCCGAAUGGUAAUAUGUCACAUAUAAACUGAAAGUGCAAUAUUUUGACAAGUAAAUCAAGCAUCUCCUUUUCUGCUUAUAUUUCGCUGAGGGGGUGAGGAUACAUUUGAAAGAGGAGGUGGAGCCUCAUACCUGAAUUACAGCAUCAUUGAAAGUCAGACUUCCGGAAGAUGUUUCCUGCAAGAUCUUCUCCUUCAAUGACUCGUUCUUGGUAAAUGCAUAUAUUGCAAGAGGUUUUGGCCUCGAGUUUAUGAACUGAAUGCUUUCUUCAAUAUUAUUCAGCUGUUAAAAGAACCACUUUCCUGUCAGACAUUUUCUUGAAAGAGUUUUUCUGACAGAAUGAAUAGAGAGUUCCUUUUACAUCAAUUGGAAGCAUAGAUCAACAUUCUCAAGUAAAACAUAGCAACCAUAUUCCUUGAACAUGAGUUUGCUCUUACUGUGAUGAUUGGAAGCAAUGGGCCAAAUAUUUCUUCAGUCAUGAUAUCAGCAUCAAGUGGAGGAUUCAACAAGAUUGUUGGCUCAAUGGCCCUGAAAAAAUCAUCAACUAGAAUGAGGAACAAGGUAUGUACGCAAUAGUAGAAUAGGAUACUGAGGGUUACAUAUUUUUCUCAUCUACUGAGCCUCCAUAAACAACAGCUGCUGCAACUUUUGGAUCUUUCAGAAGAUUGUGUACUCUAUCAAAGUGGUGCUUGUUCACGAUUCUGGCGAGAUUUUUCAAAGUUUUUAGGUUUUCACCAUGAAAUUUCUUGAUGUACUUCUUCAAUAGUUCAAUCUGGAAUGCCAGAAAUUACAACAAUAAAUAGGUGGCUACACUAUCUGCCUAAAAGAGAAAACAGAAAAGAACUUUUACUGGGAAAGAAAGAGGGAAAUGGUAAAUAUAACAGCUCAUCUGCCAUUAAUACCAGAACGGGAGCAAAUUGUGUUUCCACGAGCACAUAAUCGAUUCCAAUGCAUGCUUGUCCAUUGCAUGAACCCCACUUGCCACCCGCUACCCUCUUGACAGCCACCUUAAACCCAACAUCAUACAGUGAACAAAAUAUGAAUAUGGCUUGAACAAAUUAUAUACUUCACUCCACAUCAUAACGCUACCCAAGAAAAUUGAUGCAGUUAUUAGGACAAAAAUGUCCAAUUUUACUCAAAACGACGUGUCAGUGUCAAUUUCCUUUCAGAUGCCUUUAUGCCUUAAGUUUAUAGCUCAACUUUCUUUUUAGAUGAAACAUGGAGUAACCAUUAUUACGUUAGAGGAUAUUUAACCAUUGGAAACCUGUAAAUCAGAGGAAUUAGAUAGUGUGUCAAAGAUGGUAGGACAUUUUCCACCCAGCUCUAGAGUUACAGGUGUUAAAUGCUUUGCAGCUGCUGACAUUAUGAGGCGCCCAACUUGUGGACUACCUGCAAAACAGGAAGACAGAAUUACAUCAUCAACACAAGUGGCUGUUAUACAUAACUGUUAGAAAUAUAGGAGAAAAAAUAUUAUUGAAUUGUUGUAAUUACGUUAUUUCAUUGAAACCCUAUUUAUAGGCAAUACAUUCCACUUAUUUUCCUAAUCGGACACUACAUUACAAUCCUUUUCCAAAUAAGAGUCUAUAUGUUAUUCUUAUUCCCACUACUCAUAUUCUUAACACUCCUCCUUUGGAUUUUGGUGCAGUGGAUGGGGCUGCUCCACCCUUAAUCAGAGGUUAAGGGUUCGACCCUAAGUAUAGAGAAAACUUUGUUGGGAGCGCUGUCACCUUAAUGGGUCCUGCAACGCGUGAUCCGAAUUAGUCGGGGCUCCAAUGCGGGCACCGAACACCAGAUGAGAAAUAAAAAAAAAAAAAACACUCUCCUCGAGCUGGUGCAUAGAAGGCAUAUGUGUCAAGCUUGUUAUAGAUGUAAUUAAUACGAGGAUCUGUGAGGGACUUGGUCAAGAUAUCUGCAAGAAAACUGACAAGGACUGCUUUGGACGUCCGGGAGACCUCAACUUAAAAGGAACAAAAUGAAAAAGUGAUCCGAAAAAUAGUAAACAUCGCCAGAAAGUCGAUCAGUCGUUGACUGGUAUAUAAUAUAUAUAUAUAUAAUAUGGGUCAUCUCGAGAUCAAGAUAUUAGUAGAUCUUGAACAAGAAAGUCACCGGAUGACAGGUCAGAACAUGCUCACGCGCCGGAUUAUUAGAUUUGAUGGCAUGAAAAGUGGUCACAAUUUGAGAAAAAAACAUAUGGGUAGGGUCGGAUGAUAACACGACCCACUGAGAGAGAAUUAUAUGGGUAGGGUUGGAAUGAUGACACGACCCUACUGAGAAAUAAAAAUGAUAUGGGUAGGGUUAGAAUGACGACACGACCUUACUGGAAAAUAAAAAUUAUAUGAGUAGGAUUGGAAUGACGAUACGACCCUACUGAAAAAAGAGAAAAUAUACGGGUAAGGUCAAAAUGACAAUACGACCCUACUGAAAAAGAGAAAUUAUAUGGUAGAAUCAAAAUGAUGGCACGACCCUACGCAUAUCAGAUCUAAGGAGUCACCGAAAAAACACACGGUGCUAUGCAACUCAAAUAUGAGAAAGUAAUCCGAAAAGAUGUACGGUACUACACAAAUUAAAUAUGAGAACUAGUCCGGAGAGAUGGAAGGUGCUACGCAAUUAAAAAUGAGAGAUAGUCCGUAGUGAUGCACGGUGCUACGAAAAUCUGAUAUGAGAAAGUAGUCACCGGAUAAAUGGACGAUGCUACGCAAAUCUAAUAUGAGAAAAUAGUCACAAGAAAGACACAGGAUGACCCAACUUUUGCUAACAUAAUCGUUGGCUAGAUGGGUGGCAUAUAUGUAUUAUAGCCGCCCGCCGGCAGCGGAAACUCUUUGAUUCUUUACCAAGAUCGUGGAAGCUUUGUGAGAAAUAUAGGAGAAAAAAUAUUAUUGAAUUGUUGUAACUACAUUAUUUCAUUGAGACCCUAUUUAGAGGCACUACAUUCCAAUUCUUUUCCUAAUCUGACACUACAUUACAAUCCUUUUCCAAAUAGGAGUCUAUAUGCUCUUCCUAUUCCUGCUCAUAUUUUUAACAAUAACUAACAAUUCUUUCUUCUAGGUCAUUUCUUAAUUAUUCUUGUUGCUGAAUGCCCUUCUGCAAAAUGCUCCUCCCAAACAUGAGAAAGAUCACAGAAAACAAAAUGGCUAGGGUAUACCAGUAAAAAAUAUCUUGUCCCAUUUUAGUUGCAAUAGCUGUUCUGCCACUUCUUUUCCACCUUCAACAACUUUAAUAGCUUCUGGAUCCAAGUAUAGAGGUAUUGUAUUGACUAGAAAAGAGGAGCAUUUUGGUGCUAGAUCUGAAGGUUUGAGAACGAUGGUGUUUCCAGCCGAAAUUGCUCCAAUUACUGGAUCUAAGGCUAGAGCUGCAGAUGAAACAACAGGGUAAUAAAUAUAAAGCAACAGUUACGGACAACCAGCAACGAGACCCUAGUAGAUGUCGAUCGAGUAAUGAGUAGUAUAAAAUCCAUAUUACUUUGUUCCUGACUUAGUCAUAUUGAUAUUCAAGGAAUUUGUUUGAUUGUUCAGUAGCAGUCAAAAAGACUUUACUCACAGAUGGGAAAAUUCCAGGAUGCAAAAAUGAGCACUACUCCCAGCGGCUCUGAGACUACAGCCCCUCUUGCUGGAAAGAAAACUAAUGGCAUUCGGCCCUGCUCAUAUAGCAUCAUCAGUGGCUGCUCAACAACUUAGUUUACAAAUUAUAGAUAAUGAUGCCAGAUGGCCGAGCAACAUGGACAAAGAACAAUUUUAACCUUCACCUUCGGGUUAGAUGACCAAGAUGAAGUAAACAAAAGAGAUAUUUGCCAGCUUUCACGCACAAAGAGUGAUAGCAUGCUGCAGGUGAAAAGCGGAAGGGUGCCGAAAUACAAACCUUCUGAGGGGCCAUCCACUUCUCAACACAACGCAAUGCAUUCGUAGCUGAUUUCUUCACCACACCAACCUGAAAUGAGAGGAAAACCAAUCUCUUGGUCAUGCGAUGAAUACUACAUACACCAAUUUUUAUUGUUUAAUUCUCUUUAAUCAUACAUGAAUUUCAAGUGUAUAUGCCAUUUCUCUGUCAUGAUGUAUAUUUGUAAAUUUUGGUCCUACUCCUUAGGUAGGAUGAACCAGCUCAGCAUGUGCAAAUAGGAAGACAGAUGAAGUCCUGUCAUUUAUCAGGCACGUCCUGCC
This is a long non-coding RNA of Capsicum annuum, 5161 nucleotides long. RefSeq lists it as uncharacterized. The transcript is spliced from 4 exons. Lineage: Eukaryota; Viridiplantae; Streptophyta; Magnoliopsida; Solanales; Solanaceae. The record is from RefSeq and is a predicted model, not a curated record.